RNAcentral lists this ribosomal RNA (253 nucleotides) under uncultured bacterium. Its description in RNAcentral is "partial 16S ribosomal RNA". It matches the Rfam family "Bacterial small subunit ribosomal RNA", at positions 524 to 776 of the family's 1533-position model. The record is from RNAcentral.
UACAGAGGUCCCGAGCGUUGUUCGGAUUCACUGGGCGUAAAGGGUGCGUAGGUGGUGAGGUAAGUCGGAUGUGAAAUCUCCAAGCUCAACUUGGAAAUGGCAUUGGAAACUACCUUGCUGGAGGUUUGGAGGGGGGACUGGAAUUCUCGGUGUAGCAGUGAAAUGCGUAGAUAUCAGGAGGAACACCGGUGGCGAAGGCGGGUCUCUGGGCCGAUACUGACGCUGAGGCACGAAAGCGUGGGGAGCAAACAGG